CGAUUUUAGGCGAGCGAAAAGAGAGCAAUUUUGGUCGUCACCAAAAAAGUGGCUGCAUAGUGCAAAACCAAUGUAUGGCCGUUACGCAUCUUGUUAUUAUAAUGUCUUUGGUAUGACCAAUUAAUAGAAAGGCGCCACUGUGCGCCGUCUCUCUUUGCAGCAGAACAAUGCAUACUUCACCGUCGAAUCUGACGCCCGAUUGCGCGAAACAAUCCACCCGGGCAAUGACCUUAAACCUCCCCAAAAGUAAACGAUCGCGGUCUUGCUCACCAAUGCUUCCGACUGCAUUAGGUGAACCCGAACGCACUGAGAAGGUCUCUCUCCCGUUUUCCCAAUCGCAAACGGCAGUAAGCUCUGUAGCUACCAGUACGGUAAAUUCAAUAUCUACAGCAACUGCACCCAUAUCAACAGCGAUAACAACAUCAACUCUAUGCUCAUCAACGACAGAGGUCUACAGUUCUGCUAAACAAGCGGCAACAACAAAGAAUGCACUCACCGCGACAUUGGAAAGCCAAAACGGAGAAGAAUCGAUUUGCAGAAAAACUUUUUGCCACGGCCACAAACGGCACAAAGCUGCCACGCCCGUACUUGUGAAAAAUGGUUUAAUAUUAUUUUAUUAGUCUUGUAAAUUUCUAUCGAUUUGACAAAAAACUUGUUGACGGGAGGAUCUCAACUACAGAGUUUUCUCUUGUUUAAAACAAUCUUCAUGAAAAUACGGACCGGACUAAUAUAACAUAAAUAAAGCUGCCAUAUAUUGGGAAAACGUG
This is a long non-coding RNA of Drosophila santomea, 767 nucleotides long. RefSeq lists it as uncharacterized. The record is from RefSeq and is a predicted model, not a curated record. Lineage: Eukaryota; Metazoa; Arthropoda; Insecta; Diptera; Drosophilidae. The transcript has 3 exons.